Molecule: RNA transcript, 2453 nt
Organism: Crotalus tigris (Tiger rattlesnake)
Lineage: Eukaryota; Metazoa; Chordata; Lepidosauria; Squamata; Viperidae
Gene: FAM227B
Gene name: family with sequence similarity 227 member B
Exons: 17
Source: RefSeq, a predicted model, not a curated record
UUGAUCAGUUUCCAUCUGUUAUUUCUUGUCCUGCCUUCAGGUGCUUUGGAGAAUAGCUUGACUCCCUCUUCUUUGGGGCAGCCCCUGAGAGCUUCUUUUCGACAAUCACGCUGCUUAGGAACCACCAUGACCACCCCGCCGCACCUCUCCAAACACUACUACCCUGGGAAGUUGCAGCAACCUCGAGAGAGCCCCCGGAGACCCCACAGCUGGUUUUUGCAAGAAAUUGUAGAACUUCCUGGUACAUUUGAUGAAUUUUUGGCCUGUUUCAAUUUGGAUGAUUGGCCCAAAACCCCAUACUUGCCAGACGUGAAUCCUUAUCCCUUGGUUUCCCAGAUAAAAAAUGACUAUCCUGCAGAUACUGUUGCCCGGUAUCUUUAUGAUAAUGCUCCAAUGCCCCAUGAAAUUAUUUCCAGGUUGGAAAAAAGAAUAGAUGAGUGCAAACUACAAGUCCAGGAGCACGCUAAGCACAUCUUUACAUUGGAAUCAGAAAAAUCAGAAAUGGAUGAGCAGCCAGGACAACUUGAUGUGACAUCAUCUCCUGAAUCCCAGGAUAUUUCAAAGAAGAAAACGAAAAUAGAAAUGAAGUUUCCUACGGAAGCCCCACAAGAGUCAAGAAAUAAAGAAUUGGAGAAUUUCAGUUUUCCUGAGUUCAAUUUGUGGAAACUUACAAAACUUCCAAAUAAUCUAGAACCUGCACAUAUGUGGGAUUCGGUCCUGAAAGUCCACAUUUUCAAGGGUGUGAAUACGAAAGUUUUGAAGCAGCUCUUUUUUUCUGAAGCAUCUCUUGCGAUUCUGCAGGAUUCUUUCUGGUGGUGGUUUCUUCAUAAGUUCCAGCCUGAUCAAGAGGAACAGGACCACUUCUUUGACAGAAUAUCAGAUAGCUACGUGACGCUUCUGUGGAGCAUCCCCAGUUACAUUAAAGAUGCUUUUCUUCAGAUGUAUCCUGACUGCUUGUCCCAAGCCAUCUACAUUACUUUCUGUGAAGCUUUUCCUCAGUCUUGCCAUCGUUUUGAUGAUCAGUUUAAAGACGAAUUAAUGGAUUUAAUUUUCCAGUGGAUCAGAGGUUUUAAACCACAAAAAUUUGCUUGGAAAAAUUGGAAGUGUCCGUCAACGGAAAAACCUAGAAAAUCCAUUGUAGAGAAGGACUCCUUUUCUGAGAUAUCAUCACAUAUGAAACCACAGCCUAGAAGAAGGACAACAUCAAGGUCGAGGUCAAGGUCAAGAUCCAGUUCAAGGUCAAGAAUAAAAACCUUGAGAUUUCAGGUGACUACGGAAGAACAAAUGCAGGAGCCAGCACAAGAAACAAAAGAGUCCCAUUACAUUGGAGAUGGUCCAGACUUUCAGCAUUCCCUUUUCAACCUUGGUGGUCAAAGUCCAUUGGUCUCCUAUUAUCUUCAGAUGCACGGAAUCCCUAACACUUUAGCAAACUCCCGGGGCUACAGGAUCAAUCAUAGUGAAAUCUGCAAAGUACCACCGCUUUCUCCAACUUACGUGGAUGUCAUUCAGAAGUGUAAAAAGACUUCGAAGAAACUGCUGGACCAUUUUGCUGAUUUUGGACACAAGUGUGACGCAGAACUGGUGGUGUUACAAGAAAAGAGAGAAAAAACGGACAGGAAGUUCAGAAGGAUGCUAGAAACCAUCACCACGAAGCCUACUGAGAAAAGGGUAAAAAUAGAACGGUUUCUCCUCCAAAGGGCAAAUGCCAAGAUACACCAUCAUGGGUCUUGCGGAUCAGAAUCAGGAGCCAAAGAUGUCUGACCUCAAGAUACGUGCUGUGAACGUUGAUGGAAUUUUUCCGUCCGCCAAAAUUAAGCACACUAAACUUUUGGAGUUCCCCUCCACAAAGGACCCAUGUGGGGGGCCUUCCUGUAUGGAAUGGUUUCUGGUGAAAACAGGAAUUGCCAGCCAGACCAACCGGAUGGUUUCUGUAUCUCAAAAGCAUAGAAGGAAUCGGAGAGUCAUCUUGAGAAGGAAAAACCAAAACUUCUUCUCUCUUCCCUGCGGAUUUUGGAGGCAAGUCCACAAAGGGGAGAAGCUAGGAGGAGAGGGCUGAAGCAAAAAGAAAGCUUGUGGGGAAAACGUAGCCUUCCUACCAUGCUCCUGUAACAAUUCCUGAUCUUGGCCAGAUGGCCUUUGGUCUCCACAAAAGCUCCUCAGAUAUUGGGCAAGACAGGCAGGUAGCAUGCAAAUGUUAUUUCCAGAACUUUCUGUUGUUCUCUCUAGAGACUUGGGUUAACCUGUGAAAGCACCUGUGAAAAAAUAGUUCCCUAAAAAGAACAGCCGCUCUGUGUCUUCAGCCCCAUUGCAAUAAGCAAUGAUAUGGGUCCUCACCUUAGCAAACUCUGCCCCAGUUUCUGUCUGUCUGUCUGUCUGUCUGUCUGUCUGUCUGCCUGCCUGCCUGCCUGCCUGUCAAUGUCUGUCUGUCUGUCUAUCUAUCUACCCACCUACUA